AUUAAAAUAGCUCAAACUUAGAGUUUUGCAUUGAAGCUGCAAAGGUGGCCAUGGCCUUUUGAUA
Molecule: transfer RNA, 64 nt
Filed under: Semibalanus balanoides (northern acorn barnacle)
Lineage: Eukaryota; Metazoa; Arthropoda; Thecostraca; Balanomorpha; Balanidae
Description: tRNA-Phe
Source: RNAcentral